This 954-nucleotide long non-coding RNA is filed under the name Glycine max (soybean). RNAcentral describes it as "long non-coding RNA (GMAX_LNC001358)". The record is from RNAcentral. Lineage: Eukaryota; Viridiplantae; Streptophyta; Magnoliopsida; Fabales; Fabaceae.
AGUUUUAAGUUAACCAUGUAUAUGUCUGAUGUGUACACUUGCACCGUUGCACGGCACCGAUCUAUUUUAUCUUUAUAAGACGCCACGUGCAUAAUCACCCCAUCCCCUUAAAAAAGAGAUAUUAAAAUUUAUUUGUUUUUUUAGGAAAUUAAUAAUUAUUCGUUUUUUUAUAUAAAAAAAACAGUAUCAUGAAUCAUUCAUCCCAAACAUAUAUGUCGUGGGGAUAAAUAGGCAAGUAGUGAAUAAAAAAGGUUAUCAUGGCAUUAGGAUAAUUAUAGGAAGAUAGAUAUAUCUUUCACUUUCAGAGGAAUAAGAGUCGUAAUUCAAACUCACAAGAAACCUUAGAAACAAAUUACCUUCUCGAAAUGAUAAAACCUCAUCCAUUGAACAUCAUUUCCCUAUCAUCGAUAUUUAGGACCACCCAAUUAUAUAGUCUUCCAUUCUCUUCUCACUUGAUUUGUUUAGUGAGUAAGCAUAUUAUCAUCAAAUGUUGCUUGUCCCAAGAAGAAAAAGAAUAACUGAUCAUAUUUAUCAUCCACUAGUUCCAUUCAACAACAAUAAUAGUCCCAUACUUUUUUGGCACUUUUACAUUCAGCAAACUAAAGUCCAAAAUCAAGACUCUUAGGAACGAUUUCACAGACUCAAAUAGAUUCUGGCCAAUCCAAUUAAGAAGUUCAGUGAACAUAAUACAACCUCCACCAGCUCCAACCUCUCUUCAUGACACAUAACCAUCUCUUAUGUGUCUUAUACCUGAUAGGCUAGCUGCCUCUCUUUCGUUCUGUUAUAAUUGUCCAUUAGAUGAGAAGAAUCAUAUUUCAUCUAACCAAAUUACCAAUAGCACGAUUCUUAAGUAUUGGACAAAACAAAAUAUACAAUAUGUAGACGUAUAAGUAACAAAAUACCAUAACAGCUGGUAAAAGAAACAAGAUAGAAUUUGAGUUUUGUUAACUUAAC